CACCUGGCAAGAGAAUGCCCUUAAAAGGGGAUAUUUUGUAUCCACUUCCUCUCUUUUCCUACAGGAUAGAAGGUGGAUGUUGCAGGGAGACUGUUCUGACCACGUGGCUUGAUUAGAGUUCCCUGAGGGAUGUCAGAACAAUGGAGCAGGAGGCAUCCGAGGCCCUGGAUGACUUCAUGGAGUGGAGCUACUCACCCUCUCCGAACCACUUGUCUACUUCCAGAAAGCGAUGUCAAAGAGAAGAUAGGCCUGCCUGGAUGAUCAAAACAGAUGGAAAAGAGGCAUAUGGGGCAAUAAUCCUGUUCCUUCGCCUCCUGAGAGACCUCAGCAGAUAAUGUGCAAAAUUUAGAAUGCUUUGGGCAAGGAUAAUAAGCAUGCCCCAUCUCUAUCUGUAAAUGUUCUCUUGGUUUGGACUGAAAAGAUACAGCCAAGAAGAUAAAGAGGAAGAGACAAAAGAAAAGUCCAUGUGUACUUAAUGUUUACCAGUGC
Molecule: long non-coding RNA, 489 nt
Filed under: Bos indicus x Bos taurus (hybrid cattle)
Lineage: Eukaryota; Metazoa; Chordata; Mammalia; Artiodactyla; Bovidae
Description: lncRNA (ENSBIXG00000011327.1)
Source: RNAcentral